GGGCGAGCUACACAUGCAGUCGAACGGUAACAGGAAGCAGCUUGCUGCUUUGCUGACGAGUGGCGGACGGGUGAGUAAUGUCUGGGAAACUGCCUGAUGGAGGGGGAUAACUACUGGAAACGGUAGCUAAUACCGCAUAACGUCGCAAGACCAAAGAGGGGGACCUUCGGGCCUCUUGCCAUCGGAUGUGCCCAGAUGGGAUUAGCUAGUAGGUGGGGUAACGGCUCACCUAGGCGACGAUCCCUAGCUGGUCUGAGAGGAUGACCAGCCACACUGGAACUGAGACACGGUCCAGACUCCUACGGGAGGCAGCAGUGGGGAAUAUUGCACAAUGGGCGCAAGCCUGAUGCAGCCAUGCCGCGUGUAUGAAGAAGGCCUUCGGGUUGUAAAGUACUUUCAGCGGGGAGGAAGGGAGUAAAGUUAAUACCUUUGCUCAUUGACGUUACCCGCAGAAGAAGCACCGGCUAACUCCGUGCCAGCAGCCGCGGUAAUACGGAGGGUGCAAGCGUUAAUCGGAAUUACUGGGCGUAAAGCGCACGCAGGCGGUUUGUUAAGUCAGAUGUGAAAUCCCCGGGCUCAACCUGGGAACUGCAUCUGAUACUGGCAAGCUUGAGUCUCGUAGAGGGGGGUAGAAUUCCAGGUGUAGCGGUGAAAUGCGUAGAGAUCUGGAGGAAUACCGGUGGCGAAGGCGGCCCCCUGGACGAAGACUGACGCUCAGGUGCGAAAGCGUGGGGAGCAAACAGGAUUAGAUACCCUGGUAGUCCACGCCGUAAACGAUGUCGACUUGGAGGUUGUGCCCUUGAGGCGUGGCUUCCGGAGCUAACGCGUUAAGUCGACCGCCUGGGGAGUACGGCCGCAAGGUUAAAACUCAAAUGAAUUGACGGGGGCCCGCACAAGCGGUGGAGCAUGUGGUUUAAUUCGAUGCAACGCGAAGAACCUUACCUGGUCUUGACAUCCACGGAAGUUUUCAGAGAUGAGAAUGUGCCUUCGGGAACCGUGAGACAGGUGCUGCAUGGCUGUCGUCAGCUCGUGUUGUGAAAUGUUGGGUUAAGUCCCGCAACGAGCGCAACCCUUAUCCUUUGUUGCCAGCGGUCCGGCCGGGAACUCAAAGGAAACUGCCAGUGAUAAACUGGAGAAAGGGGGGGAUGACGUCAAGUCAUCAUUGGCCCUUACAACCAGGCUACCCCGUGCUACAAUGGGGCCAAAAAAAAAAACGACCUCGCAAAACAACGGACCCCUAAAAUGGGUCCUAAUCCGGAUGAGUCUGCACCCCCCCUGAAUCGAACCCUAAAACUGGACAAGCGACAACCCCUUUUUUUUUUUUCCCCCCCCCCAAAAAAAAAAAAAAAAAAAAUUCCCCCGGCCCGGGUAU
This 1372-nucleotide ribosomal RNA is filed under the name Escherichia coli. RNAcentral's name for it is "partial 16S ribosomal RNA". It matches the Rfam family "Bacterial small subunit ribosomal RNA", at positions 40 to 1332 of the family's 1533-position model. The record is from RNAcentral. Lineage: Bacteria; Pseudomonadati; Pseudomonadota; Gammaproteobacteria; Enterobacterales; Enterobacteriaceae.